AUCCAGACAUUAUCGACAUUUUAAGUACUCCAGAAAAUGCUGCUCAAAGCCAGACCUCAGUUUCCGAGACUGAAAUUUCUGAAGAAAAUAUUCAUCAUGAACAGCAGCCUUCUGCUGUCCACCCGUUUCAGAAAGAGAUGUUCACCUAUCUGGUAGAAGCAUUCAAAACAUCUAUGGGUUCAAGUAAAACCAGUGGUCCCAGACAGCAGUGGGCUAAACUCCUGGGCUCCUGCAAGGAGACCUUCCGAGUACAGCUUGGGAGGCUGCUGUUGCAUAUCUUGUCGCCAGCUCACCCCUCGCAAGAGAGAAAACAAAUUUUUGGAAUAGUUUGUGAACCAAAUCAUCAGGAAAUUCUACGAGACUCUUAGUCCAUCCCUGCAACGUCUGUCAGCUCCGAUUCUCCUGCAGGGAAGGCCGCUCCCUUCUUGGUUAUUUGGCUGCCCCGCAGU
Molecule: long non-coding RNA, 449 nt
Organism: Camelus dromedarius (Arabian camel)
Lineage: Eukaryota; Metazoa; Chordata; Mammalia; Artiodactyla; Camelidae
Exons: 3
Source: RefSeq, a predicted model, not a curated record